GAUCUGUGGCCCCAGAAUUUAGUUUCAGCUCGUUGGACAAACUCUUUAACUUUUCUAUUGCCAACGUUACCUUACCAUUUGGGCCUGUAUUAUCUGGAAUAUAGGUACAGCAUGUUAUGGUGUCUGGGAGUAUUUUACAUACUCUCCCUUUUCCUGCCAAAAUCAUUUCCAAGCUUAUUCUAUUCUGGAAGGUCAUCUGAGAGGUAGUUUGUAACCGCCCUAUCCCACCAUAUAUCCCAUAACAAGUAUAGUUCCCUGGAUAUAUAGUAAUGCCUUCGUCUGGGUUAAUAUUUUUAGUAAUGAUUGGGUAUUAAGUUUCCAUGACUCACAUGCUGACCGCUUAGGUUUAAAUACAGUGUAGAGACUUAAAACGCAUACUUCAUAUCCGGAGGAAGGUUCAGAGAUACAGUACCUGGGUGAGGCCUCGCUCCUCCGCAGACAUAGCAUUUAGACUUGUUAUGUUUAGUAGCAUUGUAUUUCAUCCAUUCAAGUCACAAGUUAGUGUCAGAGAAACUUGUCUCUACAGCCCUAGUAUCCUCAAAUAUGGGAUGACUACUAUGUCUAUUAAAGUCCUAAUGUGUGAUUUGAGGGGAUUAACAGUCAUGUGCGUGGCACCUACCCAUUCAGCUGAGUCAUACAUGUCCUGUAAGAAAAAGGUCUCCUGUUUAUUGUAUAAACCUCUUCCCUUCCAAUUCAGAUUUUAUUAGCCGUAAUGCUUGGGAGAAUAGAUUCAAACUUAGUUUCUUACCUUAAAAUCAUUUGGUACCCCCAUUGACACCCCUAU
Non-coding RNA from Pelobates cultripes (western spadefoot toad), 784 nucleotides. Lineage: Eukaryota; Metazoa; Chordata; Amphibia; Anura; Pelobatidae. The record is from the annotation of a GenBank genome assembly.